GGGUUAGGAUCAGUUGCUUGGCAACAGCGCUAAUGGACGUUACCAGCGACUGGUAAACAUCUCUCCCCAAAUGUCAAAAUGUCCCCGUUAAUGAGAGGCAGCAUGUGAACGUGCAACUCUCAUCAGUUUCCGAUCGAGAAGUGAGCGGAGCUCAUCUGUGACAAAGCUUAAGCUUUUUUGGAAAGACGAUUUCUUUGGGGGAAAGCAACAAGAAAAUCUCUGGAAUCAACUCCCGAGAAAGUCUAAAAUUGAGCGCCAGCACACCGUUUCCAAAAGAAAACUGCUGGCCUGGUCAAGAGCAAAACCUAGGCAGCUGUGGUGCAAAUGAGUUCCUCCUGAAGCCAGUCUCAGGAAAGCGAGUUGUGCGAGACGGGGAAGAUGUGUGCCAAAGGUCAAAUCAUGACAGCCACGUCAAGGACCCAGAUCUCCAUAUGUGGGUCACACGCUUUACCCCUGCACCAUCACCGCACCCAGGCAGCAUCAUCCUGUGGGGUCCUGGAAUCCUGGAGGAAAACUCGCCAUAGGCUGGACAAGAAUUUCCACUAAGGUCACGUCAAUUGAGGUUUUCGGUCCUUGAAAAUGAGCUCAAGCAGAUGCAUUGACGAGGAGGAAGGCGCUGACCCGGUGACAGACGGCGUGAGGGAGCGGUCGGAGACCCGCAGGCGUGAGUCACAGGAGG
Molecule: long non-coding RNA, 679 nt
Organism: Poeciliopsis prolifica (blackstripe livebearer)
Lineage: Eukaryota; Metazoa; Chordata; Actinopteri; Cyprinodontiformes; Poeciliidae
Exons: 6
Source: RefSeq, a predicted model, not a curated record